Molecule: long non-coding RNA, 1761 nt
Organism: Cyprinus carpio (common carp)
Lineage: Eukaryota; Metazoa; Chordata; Actinopteri; Cypriniformes; Cyprinidae
Source: Ensembl
AAGUAGAAAUAUAUGUUUGGAGAGAAAAAAACUUGAUAGUUGUAUAAAUAUAUUUCAUGAUAUUUGUUUUUUUUAUUUUUUAUUUAUACUACCAUUCAGAAGUUGAAAGAAGUCUCUUAUGCUUGCCAAUGCUGCAUUAAUGAGAUUAAAAAUAUGGUAAAAACAGUACUGUUGUGAAAUAUUAUUACACUUUUCUAUUUUUAUAUAUUUAAAAAUAUAAAUUAUUCCUGUUAAAAUCAUUUGAAUAUGCUGAUUUGGAGCUCAGGACACACUUGGACACACCAAUUUAUACUUCUGCGUCGGGUGCGCGUAGUAGGUACGGCGUAGCAUACGCAUUGACGUGUACCAUACGUCGUACCCUUCGCCGUACCCUGACGCGCACCUCCUCAAAAAUGUAACUACGCGUCGCGACGACGCGGACUGCAAGAUCUGUGAUUGGUCGGCUUGGUAGUAUCACGUUUCCUCCUACGCAUUUCUGGAAUGAUCUUCUGCACUCUGGACUGCCCGCCAUUUUUAAAUUCCGAAAUUCAGUGAAGAGCCAACAUGGAAAUGGACCAAGUGACCGAGCGAUUAAUUAAAGAAGUGAGGAAAUACAGCCAGCAUGAUCCGCUCUCUUUCAGUCGCCAUUGUUCGUAGAAGCCCGCGAGGAUCGAGGAAUGUAAACACAGUGGAACCCGCUCGCGUCAACUAGCGUUUCGGCGGUGAAACUGCAGAGCAAAACAGACAUACGCAGAAGUAUAAAUUCUUAUGACGGCGUCGCCUAUGUGCGUAGCCUACGACGUACACUACGCCGUACACUCGACGCAGAAGUAUAAAUUGGCCUUAUUAUCAGUGUUAAAAACAGUUACAGGUCAGCUGAAUUCAUAUGCAACUCAUGAAGUCAACCAGCGCCAAUUCUUCAAUUCAGAAUUUGGAACAACCCUGGUAAGAAGCAUAAGGGAAAAAAAAAAAAAACACUGGACUCGAAAGGGCAGAGUCCAUUUUCAAGAUUUCCUCCAAGGAUGCAGUGAAAGUGUGCGGGGGGUUGUGUAUCUGUGCUACAGUGCGGCGGUGUGUGCUUGCUGAGAAUUGAGUGUGAUUGCACCAUCCCUCGUGUAAACAACCAACUCUGAAAGCCCUUCCUGUGAUUGACACCACUGGAAAUGCCAAGCAGAGGUGUCUUUUGUCUGCCUUCCCUUGCUUUCAGCAAACACCAGCACUCCGGGCUGGAAAUGAUCUCCACACAUAAGGAUAACAGCAGCUGUCUCUGACAGGCAAGUAUUUCUUGCUACUCGAACCAGCCAUUUGAUAGCAGGUUGUAGAUUAUUUCGAAAACAUGUUGAUGGUAUUCUGUUCUCGUUUCUUUUUUGGUGGUUGAUUCCUGGUUUUAUAGGAAUAGUCCACCCCUUUACUUGGCAUAUCAACUUGUGUCGAUUCAAACCCAAAUUACUUAUACUUUCUUCUGUAGAAUUCAGCUGGAGGAGCUUUGAUGAAUGUUUCAGCUGUUCUCUUACAAACAAAGAAAGUGAAAGAGGGGUUGUCAAGUUCCAAAAGGAACCAUAAAAGCUGUUUAUACAGCAUAUGACAUUUAUUAUUGAAUAUUUAUUUAUUUAUAAGAAGAAGAAGAAGAAGAAGAAGAAGAAGAAGAAGAAGAAGAAAGUCCCCAUUCACAGUCAUUGUAUGAAAAAAAAGAAAAGAAAAUAGGAUUAAUAGAAAGAAAGCCAACCAGUUUGGAAUGACAUGAUAGUAAAUAAUAAAUUUUAUUUACAAUGGUUUUGGCCA